GUCGGAGUUGCCAGUAAUCGCGGAUCAGCAUGCCGCGGUGAAUGCGGUUCCCGGGCCUUGUACACACCGCCCGUCACACCAUGGGAGUUGAUAGCACCCGAAAGUGGUGAGGUAACCGCAAGGAGCCAGCCGCCUAAGGUGAGAUCAAUGACUGGGGUGAAGUCGUAACAAGGUAUC
Molecule: ribosomal RNA, 177 nt
Filed under: uncultured bacterium
Lineage: Bacteria
Description: partial 16S ribosomal RNA
Rfam family: Bacterial small subunit ribosomal RNA
Source: RNAcentral